AUUUUGGUAGAUGGAUUUUUCACAUUUUCCCUGCAGCAACUAGAAGCCUCUGGAGAACCUUAUUUGUGGCGGUCGCUGUUGUGCAGGGGAAAGACCAGAGGGGAAGGAGAGUUUCAGAAAAAGAAGUCGACUUGGACAUUUGACCAAUAUAGAGUGACAGCAGGAAGACAUCCUUGAUCUUCAUGAAAAAUUUCUCCAGCGAUGUUGCCUCUGUAGUGGACAGUUAAUGCCAGGAUUCCCCAAAUCCUGCCCUUUUCCACUUGGACUCUCCAGUUACUGCAGUGGGCUCACUCUCCAUGGCAAGAUUGUGUUUGGCAGGGCUUGCCCUUCCCUGGGCUCCUCACCACCAGAGCACUCCUGCCCUGACAUCAGUCCAAUGACCAGACACCACAGUCGGUUGUGGAAUAGGUGGUGUUCAUUCUAAAUAUUACAAUUGCUGGCCCAAUCCAUUUUCUUUCCUGCUCAAGCCAAACUACAACAGAUAAAAUGUAUUAGCCACUUGUUAAAUAUUUCUUGACUCUGAUAUGCCUCUAUCAGAGACCUGUAUUCAUGAAAACACUCAUAGAUGAGCCAAGAAGACAACAUUGUAUGGCAACUACCGCAUUCUCCUAUCCUUCCAUGCACUUCCUGUUUAUUGCUUAGGACUUGAUCAACCUGUAUCUAUUACUGCCUGGGGCACAUCAGAGUCACCCAAAAUCCUGUUAGAUGACUAUGUUGAAAGAGUUGCUCCUGCAUAGGAUGGGGGACAAAUUUUGGACCACUGAGUGGCACGGUUGUCCUACCCCAAGGAAUUGGGAAGCAACUGGAAGGAGGGCAAAAGGGAAAGUAUGUCUGGUCAGAAAUACACGCACAAGGAGUCUCAACUGGAAAGUUUACAGUGAGGGAAGAAACACUGAAGAGAACUGUAAUCCCUUGAAACUGCCUGAACCUAAUACAAGGGACACUUUCAGGGGACACGUUGGGAAGAGUUGAAGCCACAAUUGGAUUUGUUACCUGAAGUCAGGGUUGGAUACAGGAAAAUGGUUGAGCAGAAGCAAAAGAGAAACAUGAGAAGAGCUCAGGACUUGGGGAGAAGAGAAGUGCCGCAGUCAGGCUGGGCACAAAUAACCGGGAGGUCAAGCCACUUGUACAUUCAAGCAGGAAUGAACUUUAUUUUCAAACUCACACAAACGCCACCCACGCAACCCUCCAGAAACUCUGCGCGCUCUCAACCGGAACUCAACCAACCACGCGAACUCUCUAGGAACCUCGCGAGAGCUCAACCGGAACUCAACAGGAACUCCGCGAGAACUCAAAAAUAGCGGGCACCAGAGACAGCAGGAACCGCCUCCUUCUGGCAAAAUGCCAGGCACCAUCUUGACCUGGCCGUGGCUCUCAACAGAGAAGGAGGAAUAAACUCUUAAGGUCAACUCAAACAAGAACCAAAGACCCAAGUGUUGGGUGGGUAGAGGUCGACCAUGUACCUUGGUCAAGUCCCUCAUUUCCUUGCUGGAGGGGUGGAAAUCAUUUCAAGGAGAGGAUCUUGGCACCGACCACAGUCUGCUAGGUCAAGCAAUGACAGCAGAGAGGUUACAAACUGCCCUGGUGUGCUGGCUUCCCUGUGGAGAGAGCGACAUAAGCACAGAUCCUGGCUAGUAGGGUUUUCUCCGGACUCCACGCCCACCAGGUCCCAGAGUUUCUGCUCACAACAGCGGAAAACAAUUACCAAAGAUACAAGGUGAGGAUGCUGUAUUAUUUAUACACCGACUGCCCACCUCUAGACCUUCUAGACAGCAACGUCAGUGUUUUCUACCCAACAAUAAAAAUUUGUGAAUGGCCAUUUAUUUGCAGAAAUAAACAUAAUCUCAAAAGGACUGUA
Molecule: long non-coding RNA, 1858 nt
Organism: Marmota monax (woodchuck)
Lineage: Eukaryota; Metazoa; Chordata; Mammalia; Rodentia; Sciuridae
Exons: 3
Source: RefSeq, a predicted model, not a curated record